Oncorhynchus keta (chum salmon) is the source of this 380-nucleotide long non-coding RNA. RefSeq lists it as uncharacterized. The transcript is spliced from 3 exons. Lineage: Eukaryota; Metazoa; Chordata; Actinopteri; Salmoniformes; Salmonidae. The record is from RefSeq and is a predicted model, not a curated record.
GAGGACAACACUGUCUGUUUAGGCAGGUUUAUAGAGGACAACACUGUCUGUUUAGGCAGGUUUAUAGAGGACAACACUGUCUGUUUAGGCAGGUUUAUAGAGGACAACACUGUCUGUUUAGGCAGGUUUAUAGAGGACAACACUGUCUGUUUAGGCAGGUUUAUAGAGGACAACACUGUCUGUUUAGGCAGGUUUAUAGAGGACAACACUGUCUGUUUAGGCAGGUUUAUAGAGGACAACACUGUUGAGGCAGGUUUAUAGAGGACAACACUGUUGAGGCAGGUUUAUAGAGGACAACACUGUUGAGGCAGGUUUAUAGAGGACAACACUGUCUGUUGAGGCAGGUUUAUAGAGGACAACACUGUUUCGGCAGGUUUAUA